Rattus rattus (black rat) is the source of this 385-nucleotide long non-coding RNA. RefSeq lists it as uncharacterized. NCBI's taxonomy places the organism in Eukaryota, Metazoa, Chordata, Mammalia, Rodentia, Muridae. The transcript is spliced from 4 exons. The record is from RefSeq and is a predicted model, not a curated record.
CGGAAGUAAAGGAAGAUCUUUGGGGAAUACUAGAAAACACCAGUCAAUCAGACCAACAGUGAGGAGGGACAAAUGACACUUUCCUUCUAUCACACUGAGAAAUCUCUCCUUCACUUGUAUUUUGAUGCCCGGAAGAAUCAUGGGUGCUUCUUGGAUCUAUUAACUAAUCUCAGAAAGCCAAGGAAAAUGAACUAUAUGAUGACUGAGGUUGACAAAAGCAACUUUAAGUCACCAAGAGGCAAAAUGCCAAGUGGCACAUGAGGAACAACCAGCUCCUUGCCAGAGGUGGAAACUGUCCAAAGGAUAAUAUAAUUUUUCCAGUGAAGCAGAGUUCGUGCUAGAGAACCAACUCAACAUUUACCUAGACAGCUGAUGUCACCUCCAC